RNAcentral lists this ribosomal RNA (471 nucleotides) under uncultured organism. Its description in RNAcentral is "partial 16S ribosomal RNA". It matches the Rfam family "Bacterial small subunit ribosomal RNA", at positions 335 to 797 of the family's 1533-position model. The record is from RNAcentral.
ACUCCUGCGGGAGGUAGCAGUGGGGAAUAUUGCACAAUGGGCGCAAGCCUGAUGCAGCCAUGCCGCGUGUAUGAAGAAGGCCUUCGGGUUGUAAAGUACUUUCAGCGGGGAGGAAGGCGAUAAGGUUAAUAACCUUGUCGAUUGACGUUACCCGCAGAAGAAGCACCGGCUAACUCCGUGCCAGCAGCCGCGGUAAUACGGAGGGUGCAAGCGUUAAUCGGAAUUACUGGGCGUAAAGCGCACGCAGGCGGUCUGUCAAGUCGGAUGUGAAAUCCCCGGGCUCAACCUGGGAACUGCAUUCGAAACUGGCAGGCUAGAGUCUUGUAGAGGGGGGUAGAAUUCCAGGUGUAGCGGUGAAAUGCGUAGAGAUCUGGAGGAAUACCGGUGGCGAAGGCGGCCCCCUGGACAAAGACUGACGCUCAGGUGCGAAAGCGUGGGGAGCAAACAGGAUUAGAAACCCUAGUAGUCCCA